Molecule: small RNA, 292 nt
Filed under: Gracilibacillus boraciitolerans JCM 21714
Lineage: Bacteria; Bacillati; Bacillota; Bacilli; Caryophanales; Bacillaceae
Description: 5' ureB small RNA
Rfam family: 5' ureB small RNA
Source: Rfam by way of RNAcentral
CUUCAAUUUGUUGUGGGCUGACAAAAUGGAUAUGAGCAUCAAUCGCGCCUGUUGUUACGAUCUUUCCUUCACAUGCGAUCACUUCCGUCGAGGCACCAACCACCAUAUUUUCAGUAACACCUUCCAUCACAUCCGGAUUUCCGCCUUUUCCAAUCGCUACAAUUCUUCCAUCCUUCACACCAAUAUCCGCUUUUACUAUGCCUGUAUAAUCUAAAAUUAAGGCAUUGGUCAAAAUUAAAUCAAGAACAUUUUCCUCUCUUGUUCUUGUACUGCUUUGACCCAUACCAUCACG